UCUCCGAGCUUCACAAUGCCGCCCAAGGACGACAAGAAGAAGAAAGACGCCAGAAAGUCGGCCAAGAAAGAAGAAGUGGUCCAAAGGCAAAGUUCGGGACAAGCUCAAUAACUUGGUCUUGUUUGACAAAGCUACCUAUGACAAACUCUGUAAGGAAGUUCCCAACUAUAAGCUUAUAACUCCAGCUGUGGUCUCUGAGAGACUGAAGAUUCGAGGCUCCCUUGUCAGGGCAGCCCUUCAGGAGCUCCUUAGCAAAGGACUUAUCAAACUGGUUUCAAAGCAUAGAGCUCAAGUAAUUUACACCAGAAAUACCAAGGGUGGAGAUGCUCCAGCUGCUGGUGAAGACGCAUGAAUAGGUCCAACCAACUGUACAUUUGGAAAAAUAAAACUUUAUUAAACCAAA
Molecule: RNA transcript, 403 nt
Organism: Cebus imitator (Panamanian white-faced capuchin)
Lineage: Eukaryota; Metazoa; Chordata; Mammalia; Primates; Cebidae
Gene name: 40S ribosomal protein S25-like
Exons: 1
Source: RefSeq, a predicted model, not a curated record